GGGGUGGAGCAGUCUGGUAGCUCGUCGGGCUCAUAACCCGAAGGUCGUUGGUUCAAAUCCUUCCCCCGCAACCA
This 74-nucleotide transfer RNA is filed under the name Selenomonadales bacterium. Its description in RNAcentral is "tRNA-Met". It matches the Rfam family "tRNA". From Rfam's summary of the family: Transfer RNA (tRNA) molecules are approximately 80 nucleotides in length. Their secondary structure includes four short double-helical elements and three loops (D, anti-codon, and T loops). The record is from RNAcentral. Lineage: Bacteria; Bacillati; Bacillota; Negativicutes; Selenomonadales.